Molecule: long non-coding RNA, 1401 nt
Organism: Homo sapiens (human)
Lineage: Eukaryota; Metazoa; Chordata; Mammalia; Primates; Hominidae
Gene: SPATA3-AS1
Product: SPATA3 antisense RNA 1 (head to head)
Source: Ensembl
CUUCUCUGCAGACACCAGCCUGGUGUCCUCCUUCAUCCCAGGCUGCCAGGCUAGGCAGGGGACAGCGGCUGCCCUGGUCCUCACAGCCCUGGCUACGGGGCUGGUGACAGCCAGAUCCUCAUGCUUCUGCGACCUGAGCGCUGCCUUCAGACACCUCUCUGCUGGCGUGUUCCUGGGUCCAUGAUGGAAGAAGGAAAAGUAUUUUUAAAAGACAAUCUGAAGCUCAUACUGUGACUGCAACAUAAAAUGUGUUCACCUGAGGAGACUGCUUUCAUCGCCAGUGUGUCACAGAUGGUGGAAACCUCAGAAGGCCACAGUCCAGAGUAGGGGCUUAAUGCAAGCUGCUGGAACUGAAUAAAGAAGGUCUCUGAUGGUUCUGGUUUCCUGGGCACCUAGAAUAAGUGUGUCACCAUUUGUCCUGAAGCUGACUUCUCUGAGCUGGAUGGCACCCUGGACAUCAACCAGCCCUUCACCUUCACGUCACACAGGAGGGACACUGGUCCAUAGAGAGGAUGCCUGCUCUGGUCACCAGCUGGAGAGUGGCAGACCUUGGGUACCUGACCUUUGGACUCUGCCACACAGAGCACUUCCUCAGUCCCUCCUGCUGCCCCUGGCAGGGUGGAGCUGGCAGUUCCAGGCUUCUGUGGGUACCAGCGGCCUGUCAAAACGCCAGGAAAGGUCCUCAGGAAAACAAGACAGAAAGCAUAGAACUCGUUUGCUGCCCAGCACGCGGGGUGAGCAGAGUGUCAUGAUGAGGCAGUACGGAGGGAACAAGGACGGUCACAGAGACUGGAAACCCAACGGGCAGCUGAUCCAGGACCGUCCACUUCCAAGCCAGCAGGAGGAUGGAAAAGCAGAAUGGAGGGGAAACAACCUCCUUUGCAGGGCGUGACUCGGAAGUUGGACACAUCAUUUCCAGCCACAUUCCAUGGACCAGAAUUAGCCCUGUGACCAACUCUGGCUGCCAGAAAAUCUGGGAAAUACAGUCUCUGCUUGGGCGAUCAGGCAGGCAGUUAUAUCUUUGGGAACAUCUCUCACCCCCUGGGAACACCUGAGCAGAAACUGAAGGACAUUUAACAGAUUCUCCUUUGUGUCUAAUAAGAAUUGCCCCCAUCAGUCGGGGCUGUCCUAGGUGCUGGGUACAUAGGUCAUCUAUACACAACCCAGCAAUGGAGAGCACACCAUUCCCAGGCUGCAGAUGCAGAAACUGUGGCUCGGAGAGUUAAGCGUCUUGUUCAGAUUCAGUCAGCUGGUAGAUGGCAGGUCUGGGAUUGAGACCCAGGCCUGGCUGGUCCUGCCAGGACACAGUAUCACAGCUUUGACUGGGAGCUUCUUUUUGUUUACAUAUAUUUUUUAUGCUCAAUGUGCAUUCCUUUUGAAAUACACAGAAAAGGGAAAGAA